UGGGGAAUAUUGGACAAUGGGCGAAAGCCUGAUCCAGCAAUGCCGCGUGAGUGAUGAAGGCCUUCGGGUUGUAAAGCUCUGUCGGGAGGGACGAACGAGUGCGGGUAACACCGUGCUGUGACGGUACCUCCAAAGGAAGCACCGGCUAACUCUGUGCCAGCAGCCGCGGUAAUACAGAGGGUGCAAGCGUUGUUCGGAAUUACUGGGCGUAAAGCGCGUGUAGGCUGCGAUGUAAGUCGGAUGUGAAAGCCCUCAGCUCAACUGAGGAAGUGCAUCCGAUACUGCGUCGCUUGAGUGUCGGAGGGGGUGGCGGAAUUCCCGGUGUAGAGGUGAAAUUCGUAGAUAUCGGGAGGAACACCUGUGGCGAAGGCGGCCACCUGGACGACGACUGACGCUGAGA
RNAcentral lists this ribosomal RNA (400 nucleotides) under uncultured bacterium. RNAcentral describes it as "bacterial SSU rRNA". It matches the Rfam family "Bacterial small subunit ribosomal RNA", at positions 355 to 751 of the family's 1533-position model. The record is from RNAcentral.